This is a long non-coding RNA of Glycine soja, 771 nucleotides long. RefSeq lists it as uncharacterized. Lineage: Eukaryota; Viridiplantae; Streptophyta; Magnoliopsida; Fabales; Fabaceae. The record is from RefSeq and is a predicted model, not a curated record. The transcript has 3 exons.
UCCUAAAACCAAUUUUUAUACAAAUUCCUAACCCCAAAAGCCUCUAAAUCCCUUUUCGGCACAAUAACCCCACCAUCAUCCUUGUCCAUCGUCUUCAGCAUAGUACCCCCGCCAUUUUUUCUUCUUCUUCUUUUUUUUGUUUGUAAAAUGUAGGUUCGUUGUUGUGGGAAGAUCGUUUUUCUCGCCUUCUUUGGGGAAACCUGGAACACUUGGUAGUGGAACGGAUUACUGGAGGGGCUAUUACCAGAGCCUUCGCCCAACUCAGAUGGAUGUGUCGACCAGGGCAUUUUAUGAGCCUAUUCUUGCGAUUGAUUUCAUUGAAAGUCAUUUUAGGGCCAAUCCUUCCAGGCCGAAUCAAGCCAUGGUUUAUGAUUCAAUCGCCGCCGUGCUGAUUCCCUCCGCCGCAAACACUAGGAAUCCGAGGAAGAAGAAGAGGGUUCGAUUUUUUUCAAUUCGAUUUCGAUUUUAAACGAACCUACCUUUUACAGAAAAAAAAGAAGAAAAAAUGGUGGGGGUACUGUGCCGAAGACGAUGAGAGAGGGAUUCAGAGGCUUUUGUGGUUAGGGAUUUGUAUAAAAAUUGGUUUUAGGGUUUUUUUCAAGGUAAUUUUUUAUUACCACAUAUGGAUUAAAAAAACACAAUUCAAGAUGACUCUCAGACAUUGACACGUGACAGUCAACAUCACUACCUAACGGUCAACGUCCAAUUGUGACAUCGAGGGAUCAAUAUUGCAUUUUUUUACAAAAUAAAGGAUCCAAUUCGUAAAUUAAA